RNAcentral lists this transfer RNA (72 nucleotides) under Patescibacteria group bacterium. Its description in RNAcentral is "tRNA-Glu". It matches the Rfam family "tRNA". Rfam says of the family: Transfer RNA (tRNA) molecules are approximately 80 nucleotides in length. Their secondary structure includes four short double-helical elements and three loops (D, anti-codon, and T loops). The record is from RNAcentral.
GGCCUCGUAGAACAGUGGUUAGUUCACCGGCCUUUCACGCCGGCUACACGGGUUCGAACCCCGUCGAGGUCA